Passer domesticus (house sparrow) is the source of this 456-nucleotide long non-coding RNA. RefSeq lists it as uncharacterized. The record is from RefSeq and is a predicted model, not a curated record. Lineage: Eukaryota; Metazoa; Chordata; Aves; Passeriformes; Passeridae. The transcript has 3 exons.
CUGCAGCGCUGCUCCAGCCUCUCAUUCCCCAGUCUGUAUGUACAUCCCAAGUGCCAAAUCUGGCGCUUUCCCUUGUUGAACUUCAUAUGGUGAAGUCACAAUGCCCAGAAGAACUGGUCCUGCGGACCCCAGAUGCACCCUAAGAGGAGCUGGGGCCCUUUUCUAAAAACACCCUGGUCUCUGCCACUUCCAAGAGAGGUGCAGCAUCUGCUUUUAGCACCAGAGCAUAUCAGCACCUGGUCUGGGCAGGUUAAAGGAAGGUAGCAUAGCCAGAAUGUUGAUUCCAGAUGGCACAGAACAAGUAACUUUGCUAUUGAGAACUAAAGGUUUUAGAGGAGGCUAGAGCUUCAGCUCAAAGUGAAGAAUGCUUCUGGUUCUUAUGGCUGUGAAGGAAAUACUGAGAGGGGCUGAGAAGUGAACCAUGUGAAGACAAAGAUAAAAUUACUCCACUUUCAA